This 373-nucleotide ribosomal RNA is filed under the name uncultured organism. RNAcentral's name for it is "bacterial SSU rRNA". It matches the Rfam family "Bacterial small subunit ribosomal RNA", at positions 526 to 896 of the family's 1533-position model. The record is from RNAcentral.
CGUAGGGCGCAAGCGUUGUCCGGAAUUAUUGGGCGUAAAGAGCUCGUAGGCGGCUUGUCACGUCGGAUGUGAAAGCCCGGGGCUUAACCCCGGGUCUGCAUUCGAUACGGGCUAGCUAGAGUGUGGUAGGGGAGAUCGGAAUUCCUGGUGUAGCGGUGAAAUGCGCAGAUAUCAGGAGGAACACCGGUGGCGAAGGCGGAUCUCUGGGCCAUUACUGACGCUGAGGAGCGAAAGCGUGGGGAGCGAACAGGAUUAGAUACCCUGGUAGUCCACGCCGUAAACGUUGGGAACUAGGUGUUGGCGACAUUCCACGUCGUCGGUGCCGCAGCUAACGCAUUAAGUCCCCCGCCUGGGGAGUACGGCCGCAAGGCUA